This 253-nucleotide ribosomal RNA is filed under the name uncultured bacterium. RNAcentral's name for it is "partial 16S ribosomal RNA". It matches the Rfam family "Bacterial small subunit ribosomal RNA", at positions 524 to 776 of the family's 1533-position model. The record is from RNAcentral.
UACGGAGGGGGCUAGCGUUGUUCGGAAUUACUGGGCGUAAAGCGCGCGUAGGCGGACCUGCAAGUCGGGGGUGAAAGCCCGAGGCUCAGCCUCGGAACUGCCUUCGAUACUGCGGGUCUCGAGUCCGGGAGAGGUGAGUGGAAUUCCUAGUGUAGAGGUGAAAUUCGUAGAUAUCGGGAGGAACACCAGUGGCGAAGGCGGCGACCUGGGCCAAUAUUGACGCUGAGGUGCGAAAGCGUGGGGAGCAAACAGG